Molecule: long non-coding RNA, 375 nt
Filed under: Nicotiana benthamiana
Lineage: Eukaryota; Viridiplantae; Streptophyta; Magnoliopsida; Solanales; Solanaceae
Description: long non-coding RNA (NBEN_LNC022938)
Source: RNAcentral
UUCCUCCUCAACAUCAUGAAGGGCAGCAUCUGUUUCUGGGACAUAUCCUUCCUCUUUCAUCUUGCCUAUUAAUAUGUCCAACUCUUCAUAGAUCUUCUUUGAUUGGGGGUGAGAUGUAUCACCAGCGAGGAAGGUGUGCACCAUGUUAUUGAGCUCAAUAUUGCUGAUACCGGGCAUUUUCUUAAUCCCUCUACCCUCAACUCUUCAUAGAUCUUCUUUGAUUGUGGGUGAGAUGUAUCACCAGCGAGGAAGGUGUGCACCAUGUUAUUGAGCUCAAUAUUGCUGAUACCGGGCAUUUUCUUAAUCCCUCUUCCCUUCAUGAUUGACCUAACAGUUGUUACAUCUUCCCAUCUUCCAGCCUUCGCAUAAAUAUUU